Molecule: ribosomal RNA, 497 nt
Filed under: uncultured bacterium
Lineage: Bacteria
Description: partial 16S ribosomal RNA
Rfam family: Bacterial small subunit ribosomal RNA
Source: RNAcentral
GACGAACGCUGGCGGCGUGCCUAAUACAUGCAAGUUGAGCGCUGAAGGUUGGUACUUGUACCGACUGGAUGAGCAGCGAACGGGUGAGUAACGCGUGGGGAAUCUGCCUUUGAGCGGGGGACAACAUUUGGAAACGAAUGCUAAUACCGCAUAAAAACUUUAAACACAAGUUUUAAGUUUGAAAGAUGCAAUUGCAUCACUCAAAGAUGAUCCCGCGUUGUAUUAGCUAGUUGGUGAGGUAAAGGCUCACCAAGGCGAUGAUACAUAGCCGACCUGAGAGGGUGAUCGGCCACAUUGAGACUGAGACACGGCCCAAACUCCUACGGGAGGCAGCAGUAGGGAAUCUUCGGCAAUGGACGAAAGUCUGACCGAGCAACGCCGCGUGAGUGAAGAAGGUUGUCGGAUCGUAAAACUCUGUUGGUAGAGAAGAACGUUGGUGAGAGUGGAAAGCUCAUCAAGUAACGGUAACUACCCAGAAAGGGACGGCUAACUACGUG